RNAcentral lists this ribosomal RNA (497 nucleotides) under uncultured bacterium. RNAcentral's name for it is "partial 16S ribosomal RNA". It matches the Rfam family "Bacterial small subunit ribosomal RNA", at positions 28 to 507 of the family's 1533-position model. The record is from RNAcentral.
GACGAACGCUGGCGGCGUGCCUAAUACAUGCAAGUUGAGCGCUGAAGGUUGGUACUUGUACCAACUGGAUGAGCAGCGAACGGGUGAGUAACGCGUGGGGAAUCUGCCUUUGAGCGGGGGACAACAUUUGGAAACGAAUGCUAAUACCGCAUAAAAACUUUAAACACAAGUUUUAAGUUUGAAAGAUGCAAUUGCAUCACUCAAAGAUGAUCCCGCGUUGUAUUAGCUAGUUGGUGAGGUAAAGGCUCACCAAGGCGAUGAUACAUAGCCGACCUGAGAGGGUGAUCGGCCGCAUUGGGACGGAGACACGGCCCAAACGCCUACGGGAGGCAGCAGUAGGGAAUCUUCGGCAAUGGACGAAAGUCUGACCGAGCAACGCCGCGUGAGGGAAGAAGGUUGUCGGAUCGUAAAACUCUGUUGGUAGAGAAGAACGUUGGUGAGAGUGGAAAGCUCAGCAAGUGACGGUAACUACCCAGAAAGGGACGGCUAACUACGUG